AUUGAACGCUGGCGGCAGGCCUAACACAUGCAAGUCGAACGGUAACAGGAAGAAGCUUGCUUCUUUGCUGACGAGUGGCGGACGGGUGAGUAAUGUCUGGGAAACUACCUGAUGGAGGGGGAUAACUACUGGAAACGGUAGCUAAUACCGCAUAACGUCGCAAGACCAAAGAGGGGGACCUUCGGGCCUCUUGCCAUCGGAUGUGCCCAGAUGGGAUUAGCUAGUAGGUGGGGUAACGGCUCACCUAGGCGACGAUCCCUAGCUGGUCUGAGAGGAUGACCAGCCACACUGGAACUGAGACACGGUCCAGACUCCUACGGGAGGCAGCAGUGGGGAAUAUUGCACGAUGGGCGCAAGCCUGAUGCAGCCAUGCCGCGUGUAUGAAGAAGGACUUCGGGUUGUAAAGUACUUUAAGCGGGGAGGAAGGGAGUAAAGUUAAUACCUUUGCUCAUUGACGUUACCCGCAGAAGAAGCACCGGCUAACUCCGUG
This 490-nucleotide ribosomal RNA is filed under the name uncultured bacterium. RNAcentral's name for it is "partial 16S ribosomal RNA". It matches the Rfam family "Bacterial small subunit ribosomal RNA", at positions 30 to 507 of the family's 1533-position model. The record is from RNAcentral.